This 448-nucleotide ribosomal RNA is filed under the name uncultured bacterium. RNAcentral describes it as "bacterial SSU rRNA". It matches the Rfam family "Bacterial small subunit ribosomal RNA", at positions 330 to 792 of the family's 1533-position model. The record is from RNAcentral.
ACCAGACUCCUACGGGAGGCAGCAGUGGGGGAUAUUGGACAAUGGGGGAAACCCUGAUCCAGCGACGCCGCGUGAGUGAAGAAGUAUUUCGGUAUGUAAAGCUCUGUCAGCAGGGAAGAAAGAAAUGACGGUACCUGACCAAGAAGCCCCGGCUAACUACGUACCAGCAGCCGCGGUAAUACGUAGGGGGCAAGCGUUAUCCGGAUUUACUGGGUGUAAAGGGAGCGCAGACGGCAGUGCAAGUCUGGAGUGAAAGCCCGGGGCCCAACCCCGGAACUGCUCUGGAAACUGUGCGGCUAGAGUACUGGAGGGGCAGGCGGAAUUCCUAGUGUAGCGGUGAAAUGCGUAGAUAUUAGGAGGAACACCAGUGGCGAAGGCGGCCUGCUGGACAGUAACUGACGUUGAGGCUCGAAAGCGUGGGGAGCAAACAGGAUUAGAUACCCUGGUA